UAUGAGGGCUUGCUCUCAUAGUUAGUGGCGAACGGGUGAGUAACGCGUGGGAAUCUGCCCUGGAGUGGGGGAUAACAGCUGGAAACGGCUGCUAAUACCGCAUACGCCCUUCGGGGGAAAGAUUUAUCGCUAUUUGAGGGUCCUGCGUUCGAUUAGCUUGUUGGCGGGGUAAUGGCCUACCAAGGCGACGAUCUAUAGCUGUUCUGAGAGGAAGAUCAGCCACACUGGGACUGAGACACGGCCCAGACUCC
Molecule: ribosomal RNA, 251 nt
Filed under: uncultured bacterium
Lineage: Bacteria
Description: partial 16S ribosomal RNA
Rfam family: Bacterial small subunit ribosomal RNA
Source: RNAcentral